GCUUCCAGCUCUUCCUGCUUCCUGGUGGUCUGGAUCAGGAAGGAGCAUCUGCUGCAGAGGGACCCGUCCUUCAGAGAUGUUACAGGAAUGUCUUCAGUGCUCAUCAUCUUCGUCUCAGCUGAUCGACUGUCAACUCCUCUCUCUGCUGAGGAUAAAUUCAGCGACGGCAGCAGAGACGAUCAGACAGAGCAGCACCCAGCGAGCCGAGAGGCCAGGAGACAGACCCGUCAGAGAUCACCUGGAACAGCCUUCAUCAUCCUCAUCCUCCUGUAGAGGCUCCGUGUCAGCUGACUGGCCUCCGCCAACAUGCUCCGCCUCCUCUUCUACCUGUUUGCUGUGGUGGCACUGCCAGGU
Long non-coding RNA from Fundulus heteroclitus (mummichog), 354 nucleotides. RefSeq lists it as uncharacterized. The record is from RefSeq and is a predicted model, not a curated record. Lineage: Eukaryota; Metazoa; Chordata; Actinopteri; Cyprinodontiformes; Fundulidae. The transcript is spliced from 3 exons.